UACGUAGGGGGCUAGCGUUGUCCGGAAUCAUUGGGCGUAAAGCGCGUGUAGGCGGUCCGGUAAGUCCGCUGUGAAAGUCGGGGGCUCAACCCUCGGAUGCCGGUGGAUACUGUCGGGCUUGAGUACGGAAGAGGCGAGUGGAAUUCCUGGUGUAGCGGUGAAAUGCGCAGAUAUCAGGAGGAACACCGGUGGCGAAGGCGGAUCUCUGGGCCACUACUGACGCUGAGAAGCGAAAGCAUGGGGAGCGAACAGG
This 253-nucleotide ribosomal RNA is filed under the name uncultured bacterium. RNAcentral's name for it is "partial 16S ribosomal RNA". It matches the Rfam family "Bacterial small subunit ribosomal RNA", at positions 524 to 776 of the family's 1533-position model. The record is from RNAcentral.